Molecule: transfer RNA, 79 nt
Filed under: Candidatus Bathyarchaeota archaeon
Lineage: Archaea; Thermoproteati; Candidatus Bathyarchaeota
Description: tRNA-Sec
Source: RNAcentral
GGGCCUCGGUGGCUCAGCUGGAUAGAGUGCUGUCCCUCAAAGCCGGAGGUCAGGGGGUCGAAUCCCACCCGGCCUACCA